GAUGAAGAACGUAGCGAAAUGCGAUAAGUAAUGUGAAUUGCAGAAUUCAGUGAAUCAUCGAAUCUUUGAACGCACAUUGCGCCCGCCAGCAUUCUGGCGGGCAUGCCUGUUCGAGCGUCAUUUCAACCCUCGCAGCCCAUCUGGGCAGCGGUGUUGGGGACCGGCACCACCGGCGAAGCCCUUAGGGGCCCAGCCGGCGCCGCCCCCGAAAUACAGUGGCGGUCUCGCUGCAGCCUCCCUUGCGUAGUGGCACACCUCGCACCGGAGCGCAGCGCGGCCACGCCGUAAAACCCCCGACUUUCUGAGUUUGACCUCGAAUCAGGUAGGAAUACCCGCUGAACUUAAGCAUAUCAAUAAGCGGAGGA
RNAcentral lists this unclassified non-coding RNA (365 nucleotides) under soil metagenome. RNAcentral describes it as "partial contains 5.8S ribosomal RNA, internal transcribed spacer 2, and large subunit ribosomal RNA". The stretch from base 1 to 120 matches the Rfam family "5.8S ribosomal RNA", at positions 35 to 154 of the family's 154-position model. The record is from RNAcentral.